UCCCUAAUUCCCUAUCGAAACAAUUUGAAAGGCAUAACCAGCAACGCUGCCACCGACUAUUGCCCACUGUCACCGUCGGCAUUCGGCAUCAGCCACCACCCACCGUCACCGUCACCGUCACCAUCACCCGUCGACAUCAUCUCUUCUUAUUUGCUAACUUAGCUUGGCACGCGACUUUGCUCGGUUGCUCUAUCUCCAGUACGGCUGUGAUAUUGAGUCGUUCGUGUAGCCCUUUUCAGCGCUGUCAACGCCAUCGUCUCCAACUCUCUAUCACCAUUUUCUUAACCACCAUCACUCUACCAUCACAGCCACCACUACCAACCCCAUGUAGUGAUUUUUUUCUUCUUAAUUUUGCCUUCCCAGUUGCAUUUUUACCAAUACAUCAUCUUUACAUCCUUUUGAGUUUAGCAGUCAAAAUUAGGGGAAAAAAAAUUGUCAAACACAUAGUUUGGAAUUACUCCUACAUUUUAAGAUUAGGACUUGACUUUACAGUGUUGGCAUGAUUUCAUAGUAUUCUAAUUGUCACCAUUCAUUAAUGUUUCUAGUUCAAGUGCAUGAUAAAAAAAAAUUGCCUUUCAUUUAAUUUUUCUGACUUAGUUAAAAAAAUGAUGAAAUUAUUAUGAUUAUUUGGUGUUAUAUUGUUUUAUUUAUGCUUUGUAUUUUUUUGGAUGCUGAUUUGGUUGGUUAUUGUAUGCUCGAGCUAAUUUUUUAUAAUAAGAAACAUAAGUAAUACAGUAAUAUAUAUGAGUUGAUUUUUUAUGAUAUUAAACAUGUAUAAUACUAAAAUAUGAAAUUUAGUAUUUCCUUGCUAUUGUAACAGUAGAGCAGUGCAAUGUCGGACCACGUGGGAAUCAAUUCAUCGAGUGCAGCAGUUUUAUCUCGUAAUGUCGAAGAUAAAACUGAUAACGAGGUUGAGGAAAUUUUAGUGUCAACCGUAAAUAGAGAUGGCCAACGGGCCGUGCCGUGCCGGCCUAGGCCCUUCAAAGGAAGCCCAUGCGGGCUCGUGCUCGUGCCGUACCGUGCUCACUAUUCAUUUCGUGUCGUGUCGUGCCGUGCCUACACGUGCUUGUGCUCGUGCCCACUCGUGCCGUGCCCAAACGUGCCGUGCGCCGUGCCGUGCCCAGGAAAAAUAGCCCACUAAGCGUUUUUCUUUUUUUUCUUUUUUUAAGAACGUAUGCCAAGUUGUUGUCUUAUUUUUUUCAAGCUUAUAUAUUUUUUUUGAAUUCAU
RNAcentral lists this long non-coding RNA (1228 nucleotides) under Citrus x clementina. RNAcentral's name for it is "Citrus clementina (C. clementina) long non-coding RNA (CCLE_LNC004089)". The record is from RNAcentral. Lineage: Eukaryota; Viridiplantae; Streptophyta; Magnoliopsida; Sapindales; Rutaceae.